Molecule: ribosomal RNA, 691 nt
Filed under: Arthrobacter sp. CAL649
Lineage: Bacteria; Bacillati; Actinomycetota; Actinomycetes; Micrococcales; Micrococcaceae
Description: bacterial SSU rRNA
Rfam family: Bacterial small subunit ribosomal RNA
Source: RNAcentral
CGUGAGUAACCUGCCCUUGACUCUGGGAUAAGCCUGGGAAACCGGGUUCUAAUACUGGAUAUGACCUUCUGGCGCAUGCCAUGUUGGUGGAAAGCUUUAUUGCGGUUUUGGAUGGACUCGCGGCCUAUCAGCUUGUUGGUGGGGUAAUGGCCUACCAAGGCGACGACGGGUAGCCGGCCUGAGAGGGUGGACGGCCACACUGGGACUGAGACACGGCCCAGACUCCUACGGGAGGCAGCAGUGGGGAAUAUUGCACAAUGGGCGCAAGCCUGAUGCAGCGACGCCGCGUGGGGGAUGAAGGCCUUCGGGUUGUAAACCUCUUUCAGUAGGGAAGAAGCGAAAGUGACGGUACCUGCAGAAGAAGCGCCGGCUAACUACGUGCCAGCAGCCGCGGUAAUACGUAGGGCGCAAGCGUUAUCCGGAAUUAUUGGGCGUAAAGAGCUCGUAGGCGGUUUGUCGCGUCUGCCGUGAAAGUCCGGGGCUUAACUCCGGAUCUGCGGUGGGUACGGGCAGACUAGAGUGAUGUAGGGGAGACUGGAAUUCCUGGUGUAGCGGUGAAAUGCGCAGAUAUCAGGAGGAACACCGAUGGCGAAGGCAGGUCUCUGGGCAUUAACUGACGCUGAGGAGCGAAAGCAUGGGGAGCGAACAGGAUUAGAUACCCUGGUAGUCCAUGCCGUAAACGUUGGGCACU